UACGGAGGGUGCAAGCGUUAAUCGGAAUUACUGGGCGUAAAGCGCGCGUAGGUGGAUUAUUAAGUCAGAUGUGAAAGCCCAGGGCUUAACCUUGGAACUGCAUUUGAUACUGGUAAUCUUGAGUACAGUAGAGGGAGGUGGAAUUUCAGGUGUAGCGGUGAAAUGCGUAGAUAUCUGAAGGAACAUCAGUGGCGAAGGCGGCCUUCUGGACUGAUACUGACACUGAGGUGCGAAAGCGUGGGGAGCGAACAGG
RNAcentral lists this ribosomal RNA (253 nucleotides) under uncultured bacterium. Its description in RNAcentral is "partial 16S ribosomal RNA". It matches the Rfam family "Bacterial small subunit ribosomal RNA", at positions 524 to 776 of the family's 1533-position model. The record is from RNAcentral.